This 253-nucleotide ribosomal RNA is filed under the name uncultured bacterium. Its description in RNAcentral is "partial 16S ribosomal RNA". It matches the Rfam family "Bacterial small subunit ribosomal RNA", at positions 524 to 776 of the family's 1533-position model. The record is from RNAcentral.
UACGUAGGGGGCAAGCGUUGUCCGGAAUUAUUGGGCGUAAAGAGCGUGUAGGCGGUCCGGUAAGUCAGCUGUGAAAGUCAAGGGCUCAACCCUUGAAAGCCGGUUGAUACUGUCGGGCUAGAGUCCGGAAGAGGCGAGUGGAAUUCCGGGUGUAGUGGUGAAAUGCGUAGAGAUCCGGAGGAAUACCAGUGGCGUAAGCGGCCUGCUGGGUCAAUCCUGACGCUGAGACGCGAAGGCAUGGGGAGCGAACGGG